Molecule: ribosomal RNA, 253 nt
Filed under: uncultured bacterium
Lineage: Bacteria
Description: partial 16S ribosomal RNA
Rfam family: Bacterial small subunit ribosomal RNA
Source: RNAcentral
GACGAACCGUGCGAACGUUGUUCGGAAUCACUGGGCUUAAAGGGCGCGUAGGCGGGUUCGCAAGUCCGGGGUGAAAGCCCCCAGCUCAACUGGGGAAGUGCCAUGGAUACUGCGGGUCUGGAGGGAGGUAGGGGUGUGUGGAACUUCCGGUGGAGCGGUGAAAUGCGUAGAGAUCGGAAGGAACGCCGGUGGCGAAAGCGACGCACGGGACCUCUUCUGACGAUGAGGCGCGAAAGCCAGGGGAGCAAACGGG